RNAcentral lists this ribosomal RNA (214 nucleotides) under Salmonella enterica. RNAcentral describes it as "partial 23S ribosomal RNA". It matches the Rfam family "Bacterial large subunit ribosomal RNA", at positions 1 to 206 of the family's 2925-position model. The record is from RNAcentral. Lineage: Bacteria; Pseudomonadati; Pseudomonadota; Gammaproteobacteria; Enterobacterales; Enterobacteriaceae. RNAcentral also lists the same sequence under 2 other names.
GGGUUGUGAGGUUAAGCGACUAAGCGUACACGGUGGAUGCCCUGGCAGUCAGAGGCGAUGAAGGACGUGCUAAUCUGCGAUAAGCGCCGGUAAGGUGAUAUGAACCGUUAUAACCGGCGAUUUCCGAAUGGGGAAACCCAGUGUGACUCGUCACACUAUCAUUAACUGAAUCCAUAGGUUAAUGAGGCGAACCGGGGGAACUGAAACAUCUAAG